CAGUAGCCGCGGUAAUACGUAGGUGGCAAGCGUUGUCCGGAAUUAUUGGGCGUAAAGGGCUCGCAGGCGGCUUCUUAAGUCUGAUGUGAAAGCCCCCGGCUCAACCGGGGAGGGUCAUUGGAAACUGGGAAACUUGAGUGCAGAAGAGGAGAGUGGAAUUCCACGUGUAGUGGUGAAAUGCGUAGAGAUGUGGAGGAACACCAGUGGCGAAGGCGACUCUCUGGUCUGUAACUGACGCUGAGGAGCGAAAGCGUGGGGAGCGAACAGGAUUAGAUACCCCAGUAGUCCCUGUCUCUUAUAC
This 301-nucleotide ribosomal RNA is filed under the name uncultured bacterium. RNAcentral's name for it is "partial 16S ribosomal RNA". It matches the Rfam family "Bacterial small subunit ribosomal RNA", at positions 509 to 807 of the family's 1533-position model. The record is from RNAcentral.